RNAcentral lists this non-coding RNA (100 nucleotides) under Staphylococcus pettenkoferi. RNAcentral describes it as "Azaaromatic sequence". It matches the Rfam family "azaaromatic riboswitch aptamer (yjdF RNA)". The record is from RNAcentral. Lineage: Bacteria; Bacillati; Bacillota; Bacilli; Caryophanales; Staphylococcaceae.
GUUAAGAAAUGUAGAAACACAAUCGGGUUGGUAGUCCCGAUAAGGAUAUUAUCCUUCAGUAACCUUCCUCCUCAGGUCGUCCAUCAUUUCUAAUAGUUUU